UGGGGAGUAGCCAAGCGGUAAGGCAACGGACUUUGACUCCGUGACGCGCAGGUUCGAGUCCUGCCUCCCCAG
RNAcentral lists this transfer RNA (72 nucleotides) under Kroppenstedtia eburnea. RNAcentral's name for it is "Thermoactinomycetaceae bacterium JFMB-ATE tRNA". It matches the Rfam family "tRNA". Rfam says of the family: Transfer RNA (tRNA) molecules are approximately 80 nucleotides in length. Lineage: Bacteria; Bacillati; Bacillota; Bacilli; Caryophanales; Thermoactinomycetaceae. The record is from Rfam by way of RNAcentral.